GCCGAAGUGGCGGAACUGGCAGACGCACGGGACUCAAAAUCCCGCGGCCCUCGCGGCCAUGUGGGUUCGACCCCCACCUUCGGCACCA
Molecule: transfer RNA, 88 nt
Filed under: Acidobacteriota bacterium
Lineage: Bacteria; Pseudomonadati; Acidobacteriota
Description: Acidobacteria bacterium tRNA-Leu
Rfam family: tRNA
About the family: Transfer RNA (tRNA) molecules are approximately 80 nucleotides in length. Their secondary structure includes four short double-helical elements and three loops (D, anti-codon, and T loops). Further hydrogen bonds mediate the characteristic L-shaped molecular structure. tRNAs have two regions of fundamental functional importance: the anti-codon, which is responsible for specific mRNA codon recognition, and the 3' end, to which the tRNAs corresponding amino acid is attached (by aminoacyl-tRNA synthetases). tRNAs cope with the degeneracy of the genetic code in two manners: having more than one tRNA (with a specific anti-codon) for a particular amino acid; and 'wobble' base-pairing, i.e. permitting non-standard base-pairing at the 3rd anti-codon position.
Source: RNAcentral